Talpa occidentalis (Iberian mole) is the source of this 956-nucleotide long non-coding RNA. RefSeq lists it as uncharacterized. The transcript is spliced from 3 exons. The record is from RefSeq and is a predicted model, not a curated record. Lineage: Eukaryota; Metazoa; Chordata; Mammalia; Eulipotyphla; Talpidae.
ACGGCCGCGGGCGCACUUAAAGGGCCGAUACGGCAAAGGGCUGCUCAAGGACCUGCCCGAGGCCUGAGAGCGCCGCUGACCCGCUGGGCGAUGGCGGGAGCUGACACGAGUGAGGACCGCGCCGCGGCGGGAAGCUUGACCCGGAAAGCGGGACCGGAGAAAUGACGGCAGGAGAGGAGAUCUGUCCUCACUGUUCCUGAGAACUGUAUAUAGCUUCAAUGAACAAUAAAGCAGUGAAAACAAGACACUACUUCAAAGUCUGUGCCCUUCCAGCUUCCAAAUACGAGAGUCCUGAAAGUUGUCUACACCUACAGGAGGAGCAGGACAGAAUAAUGAAUGGGGCCAGGAUAUUUCAUAAAACAAAAUUUUGUAUAACUGAAAGCCUCUCCCUGUGACUACUUCCUUGUCUUUACAAAAAGAAAAAGAAGACUAGAAUAGAAUGGAAUCCCCGCGUCCAGCUCAAGCUGUCACAGUUUUGGGGUAAAGUAUUUCUCUCAACAUGAGAAGAUACCUGUGUACUGGAGCCACGAAUGAGAUGAUCUUCAGAGGCGAUGACAACAUCGAUCAUGGUAUUUAUUAACAUGGAUUCAUUUUUCAUGUAUGCGUCAUAAUCAAAGCUCCAACAUCUGAGUGUCACUUACCCGAGCUUCCUGGUCACCCUGAGCUGCGUCAGCAUCAGGGGCGCUGUUCGUUAGCCUGCAACAGAACAUAAGUGCCAGGAUCGAUUCUGUGCAUUUUCAGGCAAAAGAGAAAUGGCUCCGGCUGAAGGCACAAGGCAUUUCUCUUAGGAAACGUUUUUAUAAAGAUCACAACAAUUGUACAGCUCUCCCGCCGUCCUGCUUUGGGGGGCACUCUGUGUCCCUUCCCAGUGACCUGACGCUGCACCCGGUUCCAGGCCGGGUUCCCCUUCCCACUCUUACCCAGCAUGAGACUCGCUGCCCCGAGGCUGUGCAGCU